Phacochoerus africanus (Common warthog) is the source of this 695-nucleotide long non-coding RNA. RefSeq lists it as uncharacterized. Lineage: Eukaryota; Metazoa; Chordata; Mammalia; Artiodactyla; Suidae. The transcript has 4 exons. The record is from RefSeq and is a predicted model, not a curated record.
ACCAGAUCCUUAGCCACUAGGCCACCAGUGGCAGGGACAGAAGAGGACACACAGAGACGUAGAAGGGACGGCUGUGGGACGAUGAGGGCAGAGACUGGAGAGACGCGUGGGCCAGAUUCUCCCUCGGCGACUCCAGAAGGAAUCAGUCAUCCCAACACCUUGACCUCAGACCUCUGGCCUCCAGAACUGGCUCUAUUCAUAGGAGCAUCAAGCUGGAAACAAACCGAAUUCCGCCAACAGAAGAAUGGGUAAACUAAUCAUGCUGUAGUCUUUCAACAGACUACCAUUCAACAAUAAAAAGAAUAAGCCACUAAAACAUACAACAAUUUGAACUUCCAAAACAUAUGAAACAAAGGAAGCCACACACAGACGCACAAUAAAGAAAAGCAAGCCGUCAUGAACAGAAAAGCCUUCAGAAGAAUGGUCACUUAUGGAGAGACAGGAGAAUGGAUCAGAGAAAAUCCUUCAUUGCUUCUACAGAAUUAGAAAUGUUUCUGGGUGUGAGGCCUUCGAUUUUUAUUUCAUUGCUAUGCUUCAAAACUUGAUGCACAUAUUUUUGAUCCAGUACUCCCACUCACUUUUGAAAAUAUCUCCUGCAGAAACAAAGAACUAGUACAUAAGAAUACUGUAUAUUCUUUGGUGGGGCGGGAGGAGAAAGAAAAAGUAAAAUGAAGAAAUAAAUCGUUACUACCUAA